RNAcentral lists this small nucleolar RNA (104 nucleotides) under Dasypus novemcinctus (nine-banded armadillo). RNAcentral's name for it is "Small nucleolar RNA U13 (ENSDNOG00000039638.1)". It matches the Rfam family "Small nucleolar RNA U13". The record is from RNAcentral. Lineage: Eukaryota; Metazoa; Chordata; Mammalia; Cingulata; Dasypodidae.
AUCCUUUUGUGGUUCAUAAGUAUGAUGAAUGGGUUUUCAUGCAUUUUUGUGAGAUGUGCCUCCCUCAAACCUUGUCAUGAUAUAGGCACAUUACCUGUCUGAAG